RNAcentral lists this long non-coding RNA (256 nucleotides) under Capsella rubella. Its description in RNAcentral is "long non-coding RNA (CRUB_LNC002282)". Lineage: Eukaryota; Viridiplantae; Streptophyta; Magnoliopsida; Brassicales; Brassicaceae. The record is from RNAcentral.
UAUGAUGAUGUCGAAUUAAAUUUUAUGAGUUUAAUUUUUUUAUAUAGUUGUUUCUAUAAUUAAGGGGUUUCGGUUAUGUAGUUUUCUUAUAAUUACGUUGGUUUUGUUUUACUUUUUUUUUUUAUUGUAUAAACUAUGAUUAACUUAUACAAAAUGGUUCCCUUUUAAUAGUAUAGAUAUUCGAUGAGUAUAAUUUAAGUGAAGAAAGGAAAUGAUUUAAAUCAGUAUGGGAAGGCCCAGUUCGCAAUUACUAGAU